Molecule: ribosomal RNA, 113 nt
Filed under: Penicillium camemberti
Lineage: Eukaryota; Fungi; Ascomycota; Eurotiomycetes; Eurotiales; Aspergillaceae
Description: 5.8S ribosomal RNA
Rfam family: 5.8S ribosomal RNA
About the family: 5.8S ribosomal RNA (5.8S rRNA) is a component of the large subunit of the eukaryotic ribosome. It is transcribed by RNA polymerase I as part of the 45S precursor that also contains 18S and 28S rRNA.
Source: RNAcentral
AAACUUUCAACAACGGAUCUCUUGGUUCCGGCAUCCAUGAAGAACGCAGCGAAAUGCAAUAACUAAUGUGAAUUGCAGAAUUCAGUGAAUCAUCAAGUCUUUGAACGCACAUU